UAAACUGGGAUUAGAUACCCCACUAUGCUUAGCCUUAAACCCUAAUGAUUUAAUAACAAAAUUAUUUGCCCGAGGACUACUGGCCACAGCUUAAAACUCAAAGGACUUGGCGGUACUUUAUAUCCAUCUAGAGGAGCCUGUUCUAUAAUCGAUAAACCCCGUUAUACCUUACCACUCCUUGCUAAUUCAGCCUAUAUACCGCCAUCUUCAGCAAACCUUAAAAAAGAAUAACAGUAAGCAAGAGAAUCACCAUAAAAACGUUAGGUCAAGGUGUAGCCUAUGGAGUGGGAAGUAAUGGGCUACAUUUUCUCAACAAGAACAUUACGAAACCCUUUAUGAAAUCUAAAGGACAAAGGAGGAUUUAGUAGUAAAUUAAGAAUAGAGUGCUUAAUUGAAUAGCGCAAUGAAGUACGUACACACCGCCCGUCACCCUCCUCAAAUUAAAUGGACACAAUACAGAUACAUAAUUCAAUUAAUAAGUUUAUGAGAGGAGAUAAGUCGUAACAAGGUAAGCAUACUGGAAAGUGA
Molecule: ribosomal RNA, 528 nt
Filed under: Neotoma micropus (Southern Plains woodrat)
Lineage: Eukaryota; Metazoa; Chordata; Mammalia; Rodentia; Cricetidae
Description: partial 12S ribosomal RNA
Rfam family: Bacterial small subunit ribosomal RNA
Source: RNAcentral